CCUACGGGUGGCUGCAGUGAGGAAUAUUGGUCAAUGGACGAGAGUCUGAACCAGCCAAGCCGCGUGAAGGAUGACUGCCCUAUGGGUUGUAAACUUCUUUUAUAAAGGGAUAAAACGAGACACGUGUGCCUUGUUGCAAGUAUUUUAUGAAUAAGGAUCGGCUAACUCCGUGCCAGCAGCCGCGGUAAUACGGAGGAUCCGAGCGUUAUCCGGAUUUAUUGGGUUUAAAGGGAGCGUAGACGGGUUGUUAAGUCAGUGGUGAAAGUUUGCGGCUCAACCGUAAAAUUGCAAUUGAUACUGGCAGUCUUGAGUACAGUUGAGGUAGGCGGAAUUCAUGGUGUAGCGGUGAAAUGCUUAGAGAUCACGAAGAACCCCGAUUGCGAAGGCAGCUUACUAAACUGUAACUGACGUUGAUGCUCGAAAGUGUGGGUAGCAAACAGGAUUAGAUACCCGAGUAGUC
This 460-nucleotide ribosomal RNA is filed under the name uncultured bacterium. RNAcentral describes it as "partial 16S ribosomal RNA". It matches the Rfam family "Bacterial small subunit ribosomal RNA", at positions 338 to 795 of the family's 1533-position model. The record is from RNAcentral.